Unclassified non-coding RNA from Cyanistes caeruleus (blue tit), 328 nucleotides. Its record names the gene 7SK. It matches the Rfam family "7SK RNA". Rfam says of the family: 7SK was discovered as an abundant small nuclear RNA in the mid-70s but a possible function has only recently been suggested. Lineage: Eukaryota; Metazoa; Chordata; Aves; Passeriformes; Paridae. The record is from Ensembl.
UGAUGUGAGGGCCAUCUGCCUGUGACACCCGUCACCACUCUGAGCUCCAGGCUUGAGUCAGCCCAUAUGGCUGCCCAAGCCCAGGUCCCCUUUCUCUCCCAGUGCUCCAUAUGCAUCCCUCCCAAAGGUGCUGGGGCACAGAGGACGACCUCCCCGAUACAGACAGUACAUUUUAUCACACAAGGCUAUUUGGUAGCUGCGCUCCCUGCCAGAACCUUCAAACCUAACCAAGUUCCAUUCCUCCAUAGGAGGGCUAUCCCGGUAGUCAGACAUAAAAUUUUACGAAAAACAGGAUAUUACGCAUCCCAUAAAAUGGGAGGCAUUCAUG